AUUGAACGCUGGCGGAAUGCUUUACACAUGCAAGUCGAACGGCAGCACGGGGCAACCUGGUGGCGAGUGGCGAACGGGUGAGUAAUAUAUCGGAACGUGCCCAAUCGUGGGGGAUAACGUAGCGAAAGUUACGCUAAUACCGCAUACGAUCUACGGAUGAAAGCGGGGGAUCGCAAGACCUCGCGCGAAUGGAGCGGCCGAUAUCAGAUUAGGUAGUUGGUGGGGUAAAGGCUCACCAAGCCAACGAUCUGUAGCUGGUCUGAGAGGACGACCAGCCACACUGGAACUGAGACACGGUCCAGACUCCUACGGGAGGCAGCAGUGGGGAAUUUUGGACAAUGGGCGCAAGCCUGAUCCAGCCAUUCCGCGUGCAGGAUGAAGGCCCUCGGGUUGUAAACUGCUUUUGUACGGAACGAAACGGUCUGCCCUAAUACGGCAGGCUAAUGACGGUACCGUAAGAAUAAGCACCGGCUAACUACGUGCCAGCAGCCGCGGUAA
RNAcentral lists this ribosomal RNA (498 nucleotides) under uncultured bacterium. RNAcentral describes it as "bacterial SSU rRNA". It matches the Rfam family "Bacterial small subunit ribosomal RNA", at positions 30 to 523 of the family's 1533-position model. The record is from RNAcentral.